CCCGAACUUUCCACAAGGAACAAGAGGUGUAUAAAUACUGGACGUCUGACAUUCCAAAGUAAAAAAUUACAGGACUACGGAAAGAUGAAGCCUCUUUGCCUUGUGUUCGUGAUGUUGAUCCUUUGCAUUCAAGUGGAUGUACUGUCAGCGGGAUCUACCGUACCCCCGUCUGGAACAGGAGCCGGUGGUGGAGGCGGUGGAGCUGGUUGUCUGGUUGCCGGUUUACUUCCGCUUGUGAUCGCCAUGGCAACAAGCGCUCGCCGCCUUCUAUAAUAGUUGUCAUGACAACGAAGUUCUGAUUCCUUGAAAACUCUGACAUUUAAUAAUAAUCAUAUUUCAUCGGAAUAAAACUUGAUAGUCAAACACUUCAAAUGAUCUUUAUUCGACAUUGCGUGUAUAUUUUUCAUUCUAUUAAUAUCCAUGUUUUGUCCAUCGUACAUUGUGCAGUGAAGAAAGAGAAACACACAUUCAGAUCGGAAACAGUGGAACCCUCUUCCGGGUUAUGACACUUUGAUGUGGCGUCAAAAUUGGCCUCUGUCAGCCAUUCUGCUUCUCGAAUUUCUCGGAGUGUAGUGAACAAAAUGAAUAAAUUUCUCAAAAUCAUCUCCGACCACACCAA
Molecule: long non-coding RNA, 619 nt
Organism: Mya arenaria
Lineage: Eukaryota; Metazoa; Mollusca; Bivalvia; Myida; Myidae
Exons: 4
Source: RefSeq, a predicted model, not a curated record